RNAcentral lists this ribosomal RNA (490 nucleotides) under uncultured bacterium. RNAcentral describes it as "partial 16S ribosomal RNA". It matches the Rfam family "Bacterial small subunit ribosomal RNA", at positions 30 to 507 of the family's 1533-position model. The record is from RNAcentral.
AUUGAACGCUGGCGGCAGGCCUAACACAUGCAAGUCGAAUGGUAACAGGAAACAGCUUGCUGUUUCGCUGACGAGUGGCGGACGGGUGAGUAAUGUCUGGGAAACUGCCUGAUGGAGGGGGAUAACUACUGGAAACGGUAGCUAAUACCGCAUAACGUCGCCAGACCAAAGAGGGGGACCUUCGGGCCUCUUGCCAUCAGAUGUGCCCAGAUGGGAUUAGCUAGUAGGUGGGGUAACGGCUCACCUAGGCGACGAUCCCUAGCUGGUCUGAGAGGAUGACCAGCCACACUGGAACUGAGACACGGUCCAGACGCCUACGGGAGGCAGCAGUGGGGAAUAUUGCACAAUGGGCGCAAGCCUGAUGCAGCCAUGCCGCGUGUAUGAAGAAGGCCUUCGGGUUGUAAAGUACUUUCAGCGGGGAGGAAGGGAGUAAAGUUAAUACCUUUGCUCAUUGACGUUACCCGCAGAAGAAGCACCGGCUAACUCCGUG